UUUUGUCAUUUAUUUUCUUUUAAGCUAGUAUGUAGCUUUUAAGCAACUAACCCCGAAUGGGAAGAUCUGAAAAGAGAUCUCUGACUUGUUUUGGAGAAUUUGUUGCAAUUGCUUCCUCUAGAGUCAUAUCCCAAUUAUGAUCAUAUUCAUCACUAAAAAUCAUGUAAAAAAAUCGCC
Octopus sinensis (East Asian common octopus) is the source of this 177-nucleotide long non-coding RNA. RefSeq lists it as uncharacterized. The record is from RefSeq and is a predicted model, not a curated record. Lineage: Eukaryota; Metazoa; Mollusca; Cephalopoda; Octopoda; Octopodidae. The transcript has 3 exons.